GCACUUGUAGCUCAGUGGAUAGAGCAUCUGUUUCCAAGCCGAAGGUCGUAGGUUAGAUCCUCCCUGGCGCG
This is a non-coding RNA of Nicotiana tabacum (common tobacco), 71 nucleotides long. The record is from Rfam. NCBI's taxonomy places the organism in Eukaryota, Viridiplantae, Streptophyta, Magnoliopsida, Solanales, Solanaceae.